UCCAUAUGGAGACGGAUGAGACGGACAAAGAUGUGUGCGAAUGAAUUGCGAGUCCGAAGACUCGAAGUUGCAUUCUUCUCUUUCUUUGUAUCUUUGUCAAUUGUCAGUCUGUUGAGUUGAGUCUGUUACACACCGUUGGUUGGUGAUUGUGCAUCUUUGGGGUGUCGUAGUUUAGUCGUAUAGUUUAAUUCGUUAUCAAAUGCAAUCUACAUUACAUCUAUUUUUUGUCUGCGCAUCAACGAUCGAUACUAACCAAGUUUGAAGUUUUUGAAGGCAGUAUUUUCAUCUCCGAUUCAGAUUACAAAAAGUUGAAGCUCAGAGAAGACAAAAUCAUUGAAGUACGUGCUAUCAGCCCCUAAUAAAUACCAGAUUAAUAAAAUUGGUGAUACAUAAUCCAAAUUUGAUCAUGUCGUCGAAUGAAUCUAGCGUUUCAACGUGCGCAUCCACCGAAGAUUUCUGGUGCAGUACAGCUGAAUUUCACGAAGCAGAGUUUGUUUGGAAAAUAAAUGAUUUCAGUUCUCUCGACGAAACGGGUGAAAUUAUAAUAUCCGAAACAUUCUCAUCUCCUACAAACGAUAAAUUUACAUGGUAUUUGGAUUUUCACUUCAGAGGCAAACACGAGGCAACAGAUGGUUUUCGUUUAUUUUUAAACUUGAAUAAAAAAAGCGCAACAGAAAGAGUAUUAGCAAAAUUCACUUUUUCCAUUUUGAAUAAUGUAAAGGAUGAAGAAAACUAUGCAUCGAAUUUUGAGUGUCAUGAAUUCAGCAACGGUGAUGAUGAUGUUAGAAAUUGGGCAGGUUGGGAUGAGGAUGAUUAUCCCAAAAAAAACGAAACUUUCAGAAGUAAAUUUUUGCAAAAUGAUACGUUAACGAUUUCAUUCAAGAUGAUAUUUUUCGAAAUGAACCGCAAAAAUUUAGGUAGUAUGUUUCACCGUUGUAACACUAUUAAUCUUAAACAACUUUCCGAUAAUUUGGCAUCGGUUCUUGAGAAUCCUAAUUUUGCCGACUUCACGAUUACGGCGAAAGGCAAAACUUAUCAGGUUCACAAAAAUAUUUUAGCUGCACGUAGUACUUAUUUCGCCAAGAUGUUCGAAAGCGGUAUGAAAGAAAAUCAACAAAAUUGUGUAGAAAUUAACGAUGUAAAUGAAGAGAUUAUGGGUGAAAUGUUGAAAUUUAUUUACACCGGAGUAUGUGAAAAUUUGGAUAAAUUAGCCGACGACUUAUUAAUUGCUGCUGACAAGUAUGAUAUAGAUCAUCUGAAGAAGAUUUGCGUGGAGUCAAUUUACACCAAGUCUUUAUGUGUAGAGAAUGCGCUGAAUACAUUGAUAUUGGCGGACCAGUAUAAUGCGAAUAAACUUAAAUCAAAAGCGAUUGACUUUAUCGUAACUAAUUCAUCUGAAAUAAUGGAGUCGGCGACAUGGAAUGAAAUUAUGCCAAUGUAUCCUCAUCUCAUGAAUAGUGUAUGUCAGGCGAUGCGACGGUUCUUCGUAUUACAACUAAGUAAGCGUAAUUCUGCUGAAUGAUGUCUGUAAUUAUUUUACUUACCUACUUAGUUUGUACUCGUAUGUUUUUAUUUUAGUAUUUCUGAAUAGCUUAAAUCUAAUAAUAAAUGAGCUUUGUUCGUUAAUUUGA
Planococcus citri (citrus mealybug) is the source of this 1631-nucleotide long non-coding RNA. RefSeq lists it as uncharacterized. Lineage: Eukaryota; Metazoa; Arthropoda; Insecta; Hemiptera; Pseudococcidae. The record is from RefSeq and is a predicted model, not a curated record. The transcript has 2 exons.